This 253-nucleotide ribosomal RNA is filed under the name uncultured bacterium. RNAcentral describes it as "partial 16S ribosomal RNA". It matches the Rfam family "Bacterial small subunit ribosomal RNA", at positions 524 to 776 of the family's 1533-position model. The record is from RNAcentral.
UACGAAGGGUGCAAGCGUUACUCGGAAUUACUGGGCGUAAAGCGUGCGUAGGUGGUUUCUUAAGUCCGUUGUGAAAGCCCUGGGCUCAACCUGGGAAUGGCAGUGGAUACUGGGAAGCUAGAGUGCGGUAGAGGAUGGUGGAAUUCCCGGUGUAGCGGUGAAAUGCGUAGAGAUCGGGAGGAACAUCAGUGGCGAAGGCGGCCAUCUGGACCAGCACUGACACUGAGGCACGAAAGCGUGGGGAGCAAACAGG